RNAcentral lists this ribosomal RNA (479 nucleotides) under uncultured bacterium. RNAcentral's name for it is "bacterial SSU rRNA". It matches the Rfam family "Bacterial small subunit ribosomal RNA", at positions 364 to 833 of the family's 1533-position model. The record is from RNAcentral.
UUUCGCAAUGCCCGAAAGGGUGACGAAGCGACGCCGCGUGGGUGAGGAAGGCCCUCGGGUUGUAAAGCCCUGUCAGGAGUUAAGAAAUGUAAGUGUGCUAAUAUCACGCUUAUUUGACGAAGGCUCCAAAGGAAGUCACGGCUAACUCUGUGCCAGCAGCCGCGGUAAUACAGAGGUGGCAAGCGUUGUUCGGAAUUAUUGGGCGUAAAGAGCACGUAGGUGGGUUUGUAAGUCAGAUGUGAAAGCCUCCUGUUCAACGGGAGAAUUGCAUCUGAAACUACGAAUCUUGAGUGUAGGAGGGGAGAAUGGAACUUCUGGUGGAGCGGUGAAAUGCGUAGAUAUCAGAAGGAACGCCGGCGGCGAAAGCGAUUCUCUGGCCUAUUACUGACACUCAGUGUGCGAAAGCUAGGGGAGCAAACGGGAUUAGAUACCCCGGUAGUCCUAGCUGUAAACGAUGGGCACUAAGUAGAGGGGUUUUA